UCCAAACAUGUCAUUCAAGUUUUUUUAUAUGAGCCACCGCAAAUCCACUCGACUGCACCACAACACUCAGACUAGUAGUUUAGAAUAGUCUAACCAUCGGCUUUGAUACCACUUAUUAGAAAGUUUUAGUCCUAACGCAAACCCAUCUGAGUCUAAGGAUGUGACAUAUCUAAUAAAAUUCAUUUGAUCUAAAAACUUAAACAGCUCUCAAUUAAAAAUUAAAAAUUAUACUCGUACAUUAAAAAUUGCAUCAAUUAUUAUCCUACACUUUAUCAUCAUCUCAAAUAAAUCCAAAAAUUAAAAAAAUUAGCAAAUUAGACUGCAAAACUCCACUAAAACAAAUUGGCAUAUCACAUUAUUUCACUUCUCAACAUAUAUUU
Molecule: long non-coding RNA, 380 nt
Filed under: Ananas comosus (pineapple)
Lineage: Eukaryota; Viridiplantae; Streptophyta; Magnoliopsida; Poales; Bromeliaceae
Description: long non-coding RNA (ACOM_LNC024007)
Source: RNAcentral